Molecule: non-coding RNA, 102 nt
Organism: Populus trichocarpa (black cottonwood)
Lineage: Eukaryota; Viridiplantae; Streptophyta; Magnoliopsida; Malpighiales; Salicaceae
Source: Rfam
UAAUUUUUCCAAGGCAAAUCCUCAUCUAGUUAUGUCAGACCCACACUUGAAUGCUCAGAAUCACCUGUGAGAACUACUAUGUGAAUAACAACUUUUAAAUAU